RNAcentral lists this ribosomal RNA (448 nucleotides) under Salmonella enterica subsp. enterica serovar Infantis. RNAcentral describes it as "partial 23S ribosomal RNA". It matches the Rfam family "Bacterial large subunit ribosomal RNA", at positions 125 to 592 of the family's 2925-position model. The record is from RNAcentral. Lineage: Bacteria; Pseudomonadati; Pseudomonadota; Gammaproteobacteria; Enterobacterales; Enterobacteriaceae.
AACCCAGUGUGACUCGUCACACUAUCAUUAACUGAAUCCAUAGGUUAAUGAGGCGAACCGGGGGAACUGAAACAUCUAAGUACCCCGAGGAAAAGAAAUCAACCGAGAUUCCCCCAGUAGCGGCGAGCGAACGGGGAGGAGCCCAGAGCCUGAAUCAGCAUGUGUGUUAGUGGAAGCGUCUGGAAAGGCGCGCGAUACAGGGUGACAGCCCCGUACACAAAAGCGCAUGUGCUGUGAGCUCGAUGAGUAGGGCGGGACACGUGGUAUCCUGUCUGAAUAUGGGGGGACCAUCCUCCAAGGCUAAAUACUCCUGACUGACCGAUAGUGAACCAGUACCGUGAGGGAAAGGCGAAAAGAACCCCGGCGAGGGGAGUGAAAAAGAACCUGAAACCGUGUACGUACAAGCAGUGGGAGCCCCACCACCAAAGCAUUCUCUGGUGUUGAAGGC